This 516-nucleotide ribosomal RNA is filed under the name Triticum aestivum (bread wheat). RNAcentral's name for it is "partial small subunit ribosomal RNA". The record is from RNAcentral. Lineage: Eukaryota; Viridiplantae; Streptophyta; Magnoliopsida; Poales; Poaceae.
GAUAAUGUUGUGACAAGUGUUCGAACAAGUGAUGUCGACACUGAUGACUUCCCGAUUAAGAUAGGACUGCAUCAGGGGUCAGCUUUGAGCCCUUAUCUUUUUGCAUUGGUGAUGGAUGAGGUCACAAGGGAUAUACAAGGAGAUAUCCCAUGGUGUAUGCUCUUUGCGGAUGAUGUGGUGCUAGUUGACGAUAGUCGGGCGGGGGUAAAUAGGAAGUUGGAGUUAGGGAGACAAACCUUGGAAUCGAAAGGGUUUAGGCUUAGUAGGACUAAAACCGAGUACAUGAUGUGCGGUUUCAGUACUACUAGGUGUGAGGAGGAGGAAGUUAGCCUUGAUGGUCAGGUGGUACCUCAGAAGGACACCUUUCGGUAUUUGGGGUCAAUGCAGCAGGAGGAUGGGGGUAUUGAUGAAGAUGUGAACCAUCGGAUCAAAGCCGGAUGGAUGAAGUGGCGCCAAGCUUCUGGCAUUCUUUGUGACAAGAGAGUGCCACAAAAGCUAAAAGGCAAGUUCUACAGG